GACGAACGCUGGCGGCGCGCUUAACACAUGCAAGUCGAGCGAGAACCAGGGCUUCGGCCCUGGGGACAGCGGCGAACGGGUGAGUAACACGUGGAUAACCUGCCCUCGGCACCGGGAUAGCCCGGGGAAACCCGGAUUAAUACCGGAUAGCCCUUUCGGCUUUCGAGCCGGUCGGAAAAGGUAGCUUCGGCCUCUGGCCGAGGAUGGGUCCGCGGCGGAUUAGCUUGUUGGUGGGGUAAUGGCCUACCAAGGCACCGAUCCGUAGCUGGUCUGAGAGGACGAUCAGCCACACUGGGACUGAGACACGGCCCAGACUCCUACGGGAGGCUG
This 330-nucleotide ribosomal RNA is filed under the name uncultured Actinomycetes bacterium. RNAcentral's name for it is "bacterial SSU rRNA". It matches the Rfam family "Bacterial small subunit ribosomal RNA", at positions 28 to 351 of the family's 1533-position model. The record is from RNAcentral. Lineage: Bacteria; Bacillati; Actinomycetota; Actinomycetes.